RNAcentral lists this ribosomal RNA (482 nucleotides) under uncultured bacterium. RNAcentral's name for it is "partial 16S ribosomal RNA". It matches the Rfam family "Bacterial small subunit ribosomal RNA", at positions 30 to 507 of the family's 1533-position model. The record is from RNAcentral.
AUUGAACGCUGGCGGCAUGCCUUACACAUGCAAGUCGAACGGUAACGGGCCUUCGGGUGCCGACGAGUGGCGAACGGGUGCGUAAUACAUCGGAACGUGCCCGAUCGUGGGGGAUAACGAGGCGAAAGCUUUGCUAAUACCGCAUACGAUCUACGGAUGAAAGCCGGGGACCGCAAGGCCUUGCGCGGACGGAGCGGCCGAUGGCAGAUUAGGUAGUUGGUGGGUUAAAAGCUUACCAAGCCGACGAUCUGUAGCUGGUCUGAGAGGAUGAUCAGCCACACUGGGACUGAGACACGGCCCAGACUCCUACGGGAGGCAGCAGUGGGGAAUUUUGGACAAUGGGCGCAAGCCUGAUCCAGCCAUGCCGCGUGCAGGAUGAAGGCCUUCGGGUUGUAAACUGCUUUUGUACGGAACGAAAAGCCUUCUUUUAAUACAGGAGGGUCAUGACGGUACCGUAAGAAUAAGCACCGGCUAACUACGUG